Non-coding RNA from Alosa alosa (allis shad), 71 nucleotides. The record is from the annotation of a RefSeq genome assembly. NCBI's taxonomy places the organism in Eukaryota, Metazoa, Chordata, Actinopteri, Clupeiformes, Clupeidae.
GCACUAUAAGUCCAGUGGUAGGAUUGUUGGUUGCCAACUAACAGGCCCGGGUUCGAUUCCCGGAUGGUGUA